GAUGAACGCUGGCGGCGUGCCUAAUACAUGCAAGUCGAGCGAACGGACGAGAAGUUUGCCUCUCUGAUGUUAGCGGCGGACGGGUGAGUAACACGUGGAUAACCUACCUAUAAGACUGGGAUAACUUCGGGAAACCGGAGCUAAUACCGGAUAAUAUUUUGAACCGCAUGGUUCAAAAGUGAAAGACGGUCUUGCUGUCACUUAUAGAUGGAUCCUCGCUGCAUUAGCUAGUUGGUAAGGUAACGGCUUACCAAGGCAACGAUGCAUAGCCGACCUGAGAGGGUGAUCGGCCACACUGGAACUGAGACACGGUCCAGACUCCUACGGGAGGCAGCAGUAGGGAAUCUUCCGCAAUGGGCGAAAGCCUGACGGAGCAACGCCGCGUGAGUGAUGAAGGUCUUCGGAUCGUAAAACUCUGUUAUUAGGGAAGAACAUAUGUGUAAGUAACUGUGCACAUCUUGACGGUACCUAAUCAGAAAGCCACGGCUAACUACGUG
RNAcentral lists this ribosomal RNA (497 nucleotides) under uncultured bacterium. Its description in RNAcentral is "partial 16S ribosomal RNA". It matches the Rfam family "Bacterial small subunit ribosomal RNA", at positions 28 to 507 of the family's 1533-position model. The record is from RNAcentral.